AGGCCAAGUGUGAGGGAAUGCUAGACAUUUGGUAAUUUCUCCUCCAACCAAGAUAAAAGAUCCCAUUGAUGCGGCUAAUCCCAUGCAUAUUGUAUGGACAUUUGGUCGCACAAAUUGCAUAGUAUCGUAAAUAGCAACAUGGGGGCGAAAAAAGGAAAGAGAGGGAUGGGGUUUCUCUCGCUUUUGGCAUAGCGGGCCCCUAGUGGGAUGUUCGCACGACGGGCUAUUAGCUCAGUGGUAGAGUGCACCCCUGAUAAUUGUGUCGUUGUGCCUGGGCUGUUAGGGCUCUCAGCCACAUGGAUAGUUAAAUGUGCUCAUAGGUGCCUGACACUGAGAUGUUGAUCAUCCAAGGCACAUUACCAU
RNAcentral lists this long non-coding RNA (363 nucleotides) under Olea europaea subsp. europaea. Lineage: Eukaryota; Viridiplantae; Streptophyta; Magnoliopsida; Lamiales; Oleaceae. The record is from RNAcentral.